GAUGAACGCUAGCUACAGGCUUAACACAUGCAAGUCGAGGGGCAGCAUGAACAUAGCUUGCUAUGUUUGAUGGCGACCGGCGCACGGGUGCGUAACACGUAUCCAAUCUGCCCGUUACUCGGGGAUAGCCUUCUGAAAGGAAGAUUAAUACCCGAUGGCAUGUAUUUCCGGCAUCGGAGAUACAUUAAAGAUUUAUCGGUAACGGAUGAGGAUGCGUACGAUUAGCUGGUUGGCGGGGUAACGGCCCACCAAGGCGACGAUCGUUAGGGGUUCUGAGAGGAAGGUCCCCCANACUGGAACUGAGACACGGUCCAGACUCCUACGGGAGGCAGCAGUGAGGAAUAUUGGUCAAUGGUCGAGAGACUGAACCAGCCAAGUAGCGUGAAGGAUGACUGCCCUACGGGUUGUAAACUUCUUUUGUUGGGAAUAAAUGAUACUACGUGUAGUAUUUUGCUAUGUACCUUA
RNAcentral lists this ribosomal RNA (465 nucleotides) under uncultured bacterium. Its description in RNAcentral is "bacterial SSU rRNA". It matches the Rfam family "Bacterial small subunit ribosomal RNA", at positions 28 to 482 of the family's 1533-position model. The record is from RNAcentral.